AAUCUUCGGCAAUGGACGAAAGGUCUGACCGAGCAACGCCGCGUGAGUGAGGAUGGUAUUCGGAUCGUAAAGCUCUGUUGCCAGGGAAGAACUCCUGGGGGAGUCACUGCCUUCAGGUUGACGGUACCUGAGAAGAAAGCCCCGGCUAAAUACGUGCCAGCAGCCGCGGUAAUACGUAGGGGGCAAGCGUUGUCCGGAAUUAUUGUGCGUAAAGCGCGCGCAGGCGGCUGAUUAAGUCUCAUGUUUAAACGCGGGGCUCAACCUCGUGUCGGAUGGGAAACUGGUCAGCUUGAGUGCAGGAGAGGGAAGCGGAAUUCCACGUGUAGCGGUGAAAUGCGUAGAGAUGUGGAGGAACACCAGUGGCGAAGGCGGCUUUCUGGUCUGUAACUGACGCUGAGGCGCGAAAGCGUGGGGAGCAAAC
Molecule: ribosomal RNA, 421 nt
Filed under: uncultured bacterium
Lineage: Bacteria
Description: partial 16S ribosomal RNA
Rfam family: Bacterial small subunit ribosomal RNA
Source: RNAcentral